This 837-nucleotide ribosomal RNA is filed under the name Triticum aestivum (bread wheat). RNAcentral's name for it is "partial small subunit ribosomal RNA". Lineage: Eukaryota; Viridiplantae; Streptophyta; Magnoliopsida; Poales; Poaceae. The record is from RNAcentral.
AUGACGAUACUCAGCUGGAACUGCCGGGGACUUGGCCAACCCCGCACAGUUCGUGAACUAGUGGGGCUAGUGAACAAUCUAAAGCCAAAACUAGUUUUUCUCUCUGAAACACGGCAAAGCGAUGAGUUCAUUAAUAAGUUACGAUGGAGGCUAGGCCUCAAGCAUUGUAUUGUGCAUGCUGGUACCGGGAAAGGUGCGGGCAUUGCACUCCUGUAUGAUGAAAGUGUACAGUGGGGAGCUACCUUUGUGUAUGGAGAACCAAAAGUGCAAGAGAGGUACAAUAUGUGGAAUUUGUUGAGAAGAAUUAGACAAAAUGCUACUGAACCCUGGUUAGUAAUAGGAGAUUUAAAUGAAACUAUGUGGCAGAGUGAGGACUUCUCACGAGCAAAGAGAUCCGAAAGCAACAUGGCAGAGUUCAGAAGAGUGUUGACUGAAUGCGAUUUGCAUGACAUAGGGUACAAAGGUACACCAUGGACAUAUGACAAUAGACAGAAGGGCCACUACAAUGUGAAAGCAAGGUUGGAUAGAGGUGUUGCAUCUCCAGAUUGGUGUAAGUUGUUUGAGAAUGCCACGGUGGAGCAUAUAUGCACCUCUAGAUCUGAUCAUGUGCCUCUCUUGCUUCGGUUGGGCAGUAGAAAGGAAUGGCGGCCUAUUAAGAGAGCUUUUGAGUAUGAAGCAAUGUGGGAAAGAAGCCCAGACCUGGGCGAAGUAAUCAACAAAAGUUGGGCUGGAGGAGGGGCGAGUACAUCGGUGGACGACAUAGCCAAAAAAUUAAGAUGCAUGCAAGACGUCCUUAGCAGCUGGGCACAAAAAGAGUUUUGCUCAGUACAGAAUUAA